UUUGAAAUAAAAAAAACGUAACAAGGUUUCCGUAGGUUGUCUAGAAGGUUAGCCUACAAGAGUAGUCGCGCAAGGCUGCUAGUCUCCUCGGAGGCGACACGCUCAAGGUGCGGAAAAACCCCCGCUGGGGGAAACCCGCAGCCAGCUGCCCCUACCCGGCAGCCGGUUCAGAGACUCAAUGAACGUGGGCGCUAGCCUAGCUGCGCUUGAGAUAGAGCCCGUCCCCGCCGGCAAUGGCGCGGAGGUAACGGAACCUGCGGAAGGAUCAUUA
Molecule: ribosomal RNA, 271 nt
Filed under: Hypohelion durum
Lineage: Eukaryota; Fungi; Ascomycota; Leotiomycetes; Rhytismatales; Rhytismataceae
Description: partial 18S ribosomal RNA
Rfam family: Group I catalytic intron (bases 32-241)
About the family: Group I catalytic introns are large self-splicing ribozymes. They catalyse their own excision from mRNA, tRNA and rRNA precursors in a wide range of organisms. The core secondary structure consists of 9 paired regions (P1-P9).
Source: RNAcentral